AGCCUUUUGUUUUCGUGCUGAAAUUUCUUCAGUAACCAGUCCACUAGGCCUGAUGCAGCUUCCCAAAUAAGUGAAGUA
RNAcentral lists this microRNA precursor (78 nucleotides) under Trichobilharzia regenti. RNAcentral describes it as "mir-3492 microRNA precursor family". It matches the Rfam family "mir-3492 microRNA precursor family". Lineage: Eukaryota; Metazoa; Platyhelminthes; Trematoda; Strigeidida; Schistosomatidae. The record is from Rfam by way of RNAcentral.